Molecule: transfer RNA, 74 nt
Filed under: Methanocorpusculum sp. MCE
Lineage: Archaea; Methanobacteriati; Methanobacteriota; Methanomicrobia; Methanomicrobiales; Methanocorpusculaceae
Also listed under: 2 other names
Description: tRNA-Ala
Rfam family: tRNA
About the family: Transfer RNA (tRNA) molecules are approximately 80 nucleotides in length. Their secondary structure includes four short double-helical elements and three loops (D, anti-codon, and T loops).
Source: RNAcentral
GGGCGCGUAGCUCAGUUGGAAGAGCGCGGCGUUUGCAACGCCGAGGCCUGGGGUUCAAAUCCCCACGCGUCCAC